AGAAUUGUGGCUCAGUGGUAGAGCGCUUGCCUAGCAUGCGUGAGGCACUGAGUUAAAUUCUCAGCACUGCAU
This 72-nucleotide transfer RNA is filed under the name Ictidomys tridecemlineatus (thirteen-lined ground squirrel). RNAcentral describes it as "Spermophilus tridecemlineatus (thirteen-lined ground squirrel) tRNA". It matches the Rfam family "tRNA". From Rfam's summary of the family: Transfer RNA (tRNA) molecules are approximately 80 nucleotides in length. Their secondary structure includes four short double-helical elements and three loops (D, anti-codon, and T loops). Further hydrogen bonds mediate the characteristic L-shaped molecular structure. tRNAs have two regions of fundamental functional importance: the anti-codon, which is responsible for specific mRNA codon recognition, and the 3' end, to which the tRNAs corresponding amino acid is attached (by aminoacyl-tRNA synthetases). tRNAs cope with the degeneracy of the genetic code in two manners: having more than one tRNA (with a specific anti-codon) for a particular amino acid; and 'wobble' base-pairing, i.e. permitting non-standard base-pairing at the 3rd anti-codon position. The record is from Rfam by way of RNAcentral. Lineage: Eukaryota; Metazoa; Chordata; Mammalia; Rodentia; Sciuridae.